UGGGGUUGCAGUGAGUGCAAUGCCUAUGCUUUCUUGAAAUCAGCUUACCUGAUAUGAGUUUAUAGCCGUCAGCAACAAUUCUGCAUAUUCCAAAACCACAGUAUUCUAUGCAACUUGGUUUCAUCAGAGGGCCAAGAAGACACGAGUAUCCCAGAAGGCUAGAACAUGCUUUUAUCGUUAAUCAAUACCUCACUGAUACUUACCUUUAAAAGUUUUCCUCCAAGGAAUAGGAAAAAAUGUAAAGGGAAUUUAGGGGAGGAGGUGAAGACAAGGGCAGAAAUUAUGGAUCUCAUUAUCUCAAAUGAGCUUAUUGUCAUUUUCUUCCGUGAGCUGCUGAUCAAUGAGCUUAUUUUUUUAUUUUCUGUAUUAUCUAGAUGGAAGAUGAGUGGUUUGUUGUUCUAGUUCGAAGCAAUAGAGGCAAGGGCCUUAUUCUUCCAACAUAAUUUAUAAAGCUAUUCUCUCAGGCCUGAGCUAAGAAGAAUUGCAAGUAAAGAUGUAAAUGAAAAGACGUCUAAAAGGAAGCAGGGAAACGAGAUUGGUCGUGACCUGGAGACAUAGGCGAUACCUUUUGUGUACCACAUGCUAUGACAUGCAGUGUUCUGGGAAAUGCAAAUUUUCAAGGAAGUCAUGAGGGAAACAAAGAUCUCAUCAAGAGAUUCAUGGGAUUAAAGGUGUCCACUACUGUCCAGUCCUAUCUCGCAUUCAUAUGAGAAAAAGUGGCUUUUGAUUGGCUAUGUGAAAGUUGAAUGAGAGAAAAGGGCAAAAUGGUGGAGGAAGAAAAAAGAGAGUCCUACACUUAAAAGCAAAAGAGAAGGAAAGUAUUUCAUCAACUAAAGGGGAAAGAAAGGAAAGACAGUUUCAUUCAAACCUUUAUUGGGAAGAGCUGCUACUUAACGGAUCAUCACAUAUUUUCUUUGAAAGAUAACUCUCUAAAAAGCUCACAAAAGCCUCUCCCGUCCAAAAUAUAGAAAAUAUGAAUCCAUGAUUUUGCUUAAAUAAAGAUAGAAAUCAUCAUGAGUGUAAUUUGCUUUUCCUCUACAAUUAAUGAAAUCUCCAAAGAAAGACUUCACCCAAGCACCUUGAUAUGUAAAGCCAAGAAGUUUGGCAUGUACAGUGACAAUGAGAGGGAGAGCAAGGGGAGAGACCAAACCAAAGGAAGGAUUUUCCUCUUAAAAAAAAAAAAAUUAAAGAAUUCUUCUUUCCUUUCUUUA
Molecule: long non-coding RNA, 1211 nt
Organism: Hevea brasiliensis (rubber tree)
Lineage: Eukaryota; Viridiplantae; Streptophyta; Magnoliopsida; Malpighiales; Euphorbiaceae
Exons: 4
Source: RefSeq, a predicted model, not a curated record